This 498-nucleotide unclassified non-coding RNA is filed under the name Hevea brasiliensis (rubber tree). The record is from RNAcentral. Lineage: Eukaryota; Viridiplantae; Streptophyta; Magnoliopsida; Malpighiales; Euphorbiaceae.
CAACUUAUGAGGCACGUUUACUAAUUCGCGGAUCUCAAUCUACAGCCACAACGAAAAUAAGACUCCUCAUUGAUUUUUACUCAUAAGGUUUUAUUAUUAUUAUUUUUUAUGUAAAAAGACAAAUAACGGCUCAGCGAUGAAAAUGAAUCAUUGUUAAAAUCAUGAAAAUUUUAAUGGAUUCUUUUUUUCCAUACAAGUUACAUGCAUAUUCAAUUUACAACCGAUGUUGUAUAAUUGAUGGUAUAAUGGGCAUAAUGGGUAAUUAAUUGCUGUAAUUUGGAUUCGGUCCCAGUUCAAAUCCGGACCUUGAUCUGGUAUGUGUACAUGUGUGCCGGUCUGGUCCAAGAAAAGAUAAUCUUUUUGUAUAUUGGAACAUGUGCUGUAACAUGCAAUGCUGAAUUCCUAACGUGACUCUAUUGGUGCUCCUUUUGCAGCAAGAAAAACGACAGCAGAAAGAGGGAAAAAAAAAUAUUGUUUUGUUGAAAAAAAAAGGAGAAG